This 438-nucleotide ribosomal RNA is filed under the name Novosphingobium sp. Its description in RNAcentral is "bacterial SSU rRNA". It matches the Rfam family "Bacterial small subunit ribosomal RNA", at positions 424 to 879 of the family's 1533-position model. Lineage: Bacteria; Pseudomonadati; Pseudomonadota; Alphaproteobacteria; Sphingomonadales; Sphingomonadaceae. The record is from RNAcentral.
CGUAAAGCUCUUUUACCAGGGAUGAUAAUGACAGUACCUGGAGAAUAAGCUCCGGCUAACUCCGUGCCAGCAGCCGCGGUAAUACGGAGGGAGCUAGCGUUGUUCGGAAUUACUGGGCGUAAAGCGUACGUAGGCGGUUAUUCAAGUCAGAGGUGAAAGCCCGGGGCUCAACCCCGGAACGGCCUUUGAAACUAGAUAGCUAGAGUCUUGGAGAGGUCAGUGGAAUUCCGAGUGUAGAGGUGAAAUUCGUAGAUAUUCGGAAGAACACCAGUGGCGAAGGCGACUGACUGGACAAGUACUGACGCUGAGGUACGAAAGCGUGGGGAGCAAACAGGAUUAGAUACCCUGGUAGUCCACGCCGUAAACGAUGAUAACUAGCUGUCCGGGUACUUGGUAUCUGGGUGGCGCAGCUAACGCAUUAAGUUAUCCGCCUGGGGA